CCUACAUUCUAGGUGCUUAGCUUUAUUUACAUGAUAGGUGCCCCUGAAGGCACAGAAUAAGGUAAUCACCAGUCUACAGAUAGAGAUAUUCAGUAUACUGAACCAUAGACACUUAUUUCAAAAAGGAAAUAGGUGCCCUUGAAGGCACAGCAUAGGUAAUUACUCUUUAACAGACAGCUAGAGAUAUAGGUGCAUAGUCACUAGGUCUACC
Pelobates cultripes (western spadefoot toad) is the source of this 211-nucleotide non-coding RNA. Lineage: Eukaryota; Metazoa; Chordata; Amphibia; Anura; Pelobatidae. The record is from the annotation of a GenBank genome assembly.